Molecule: long non-coding RNA, 5063 nt
Filed under: Gossypium barbadense (sea-island cotton)
Lineage: Eukaryota; Viridiplantae; Streptophyta; Magnoliopsida; Malvales; Malvaceae
Description: long non-coding RNA (GBAR_LNC022782)
Source: RNAcentral
UAAAGUUUGCAAUGGGGGACCUUGAUCUUGUGUAUACAAUGCCUGGUAUGAAGGAUUAUAUUCACAACGGUGGGUUCAAAAGGGAUGUGCCCUUCCUUGAAGAAGCUCUUGCCAUCAAUGGAGUUUCUCAUUGGAUCCACCAAGAAAUACCUGAUCAAAUCAAUCAAUUAUUGUUCGACUUCUUCUCCAAGUUCCAUUAAAUUUUAAUAAUAAUAACAAAAUACAAAUUUAGUAAAAAUAGAAAAAAAAAAGAAAAAGAAGAAGAAGAAAACAUGUUCUUCGUUUGUUGUUUUUAAUUUUUAAGUCCAAAGGUUGAUUCAAAAUUUGAGAGGAUUAAAAAAAAUAUUAGAUGCAAAAAAUAGGUUUGGAUAAAAAUAUUAGUUUUGUUUAAAAUAUAAAUCAGGUUUAGGCUUGAUCUUUCAAUGUUUGAGCUCGACUUGAUUAUUAAGGUUAUAAUAUAUUGUUACUUUUAUAUAUGAUGUAAUAUAGUUAUCUACAAAUAUAGACGAACUUGAAUAAGAUUUUAAGUUUAUAUUUCGAGUUCGAUUAAACUUAAACAAGUAUAAAUUAUAUUAAUAUUACAUUUUAAAUUCAGCCUAACUUAUAACACUUUUGUUUCAAUUAUUGUUUUUUUAGUGAAAUUAUUAUUAUUUUGUUGAAAAUAAAGAGUAUUUUAACAGAAUUUAUUUUAUCAUUUAAAUAAUAUGACAGUAUUCACAUGAUAAUAUACGUUUAUGUUAAUAAAAUUAAUAAAUAUUAAUUUUUUAUUUAUUUUAGAUGAUUUGACAAAUAACAUAAAUUAAGAACUAAAAAAGGGAAAGAGCUAAACCAAUAAAAUCGAGAUCACGAUGUAUCAUAUUUAUUAUUUUGAUAGUAGGACAAGCAUUUAAGAUAACAUGAUAAGAUGAUGAACUGUUUAAAACAUGUGAGACCCACCAAUUAGCAGCAACUUCCGCCCGUGUGUUGUUGAUUUGCAAUAAGCGUUUGCCAUUUUGAAGACGAAAACUAACCGUCUUGAUGCAGUUGCGUAGCUUGACAAUGUUUUAUUUGGGUCGACAAGGGAGCAGGCCGUUCCAUAACCAUAAUCAUAAUCUCCUUUCCUGCAUGAUACGUGGAUGUUGUUUUAAUUAGAUUGAUUAGAUCAAGAAUAGAUUAAAGUAUUAAUUUAGAAAAUGAUUUUAAAUCGAUUAAAUUAGGAAUCGGCAUGAGUCAGUCUAAUUGAAUUUUUUAAAACUUUUAAUUUGAAUUUGAAUUGACGAAUCGAUGACUUGACCAAUUUUACAUAGAUCUGUCCAUUGGUUGGACGGAGUCUUGAAAAAAUUUUGGACUGUUAGAUAGAUCCAGGCUUGGCCUGACUUGACUCAAAAAAUAGAUUUAAAAUUUUAUCGAAAGCCGACCUAGAUAAAAAUAUUAAAAUUCAGAUUCAGUCUGGCCCGACUCGUAUUAAAUUUUUAAAAAUAUAUAAUAUAUCAACAACACUAAAAAUAUUAAAAUAAAUAUUUCUUAACAAUUUGAAAAUAAAUUUAAAACACUUUAUACUUAAAUAACUGUAAGAUAAGUACAACUUAAUAAGUAAAUGUCUCUAAAAUAAUAGUAAAAUUAAAAUAAAAUAAGAGUUAUAUAAUGUCCAAACAACAACAACAAAAUAAUAACAUAAUAUUGAAAUGAUAGCACAACAAUAAAAAAAUAGCAAAAAAAGUAGUGAAAAAACAAGAAAACAGUAGAUCAUUUUUUCUUUUUGCAAAUUCGGGUUGGGCCGAGAUAAAAAUUGUCUUACCAGAAGCCCAGUUUAUUUUCUAAACAAAUCAUAUUUUUUUAUCUAAACUUAUUUUUUGAACUUAUAAAAAAAACGGUUUAAAAAACAUUGAUAUCGCAAUUUAAAACAACAUUAGGUCUAUUAUUAUAUAUAACGAAAAGCUUAAGCUUAAGCUUAAGCUUAAGAAAGUGAUAAGACAUUAAAGAAGAGAUGAAAAGUAUGGAGGGAAUUCAACACAAAACAGUGAGCGUCAAUGGCAUCAACAUGCACAUAGCCGAGAAAGGGGAAGGUCCUUUGAUUCUCUUCAUCCAUGGCUUCCCUGAGCUCUGGUAUACAUGGCGCCACCAGAUCAACGGUUUAUCUGCCCUUGGCUACCGUGCUUUGGCGCCCGACCUCCGUGGUUACGGUGGAACCGAUGCGCCGGAUUGCGUCGCCGACUACACUUGCUUCCACGUGGUGGGAGACCUCAUCGCGCUUCUGGACACUGAGGCGCCGCAGGAUAAGGUGUUUGUCGUAGGGCACGAUUGGGGUGCCAUCAUUGCUUGGUUCUUGUGCUUGUUUAGGCCGGACCGGGUUAAAGCUUUGUUCAAUUUGAGUGCGCCGUUUAUUCCUUGCGAUCCUCGGUUUAAACCAGUCGAGACUUUGGAAGUUCUCCUUGGGAAGGAUUAUUAUAUCGUUCGGUUUCAGGUUUGAAUAUUUUAUCUUUUUUCCUUUUAUUUUUAAUCAAUUUCGGUAAAAAUACCGUGGAAGCCAUUGAACUAAAUGUCAAAUCGCAUUUAACACUUUCUAUAAAAAAAUAAGUAAAUUAGUCUCUAUAUAUUAAAUUAAAGAGUAAAUUGAAUUUUUUUAAUUAAUUUAUUUUUACUAUUAAAAACUGAAAUAUUUUAAUUAAUACAAUAUUGAUAUUUUGAAAACUUAAAUAUGCAUAUGAAACUUUGAUUGUAGUUUCAGUGUACACAUGAAAUUUUGAUAGUGAUUCCUCUGCACACAUCUAAAAAAAAGCAUAAUAACUUAUUUAACCCCCAAGUUUAUAAAAAAAAAUCAUUUUAACCUUUCAUCUAAUUUUUCACUUAUUUUAACUCUUAAAUUUGUGAUGUUUGUCAAAUCACCCAAAACAGAUGAAAAAGUUAAUAUCUGUUAAUUAUGUUAACAUGGCAUACAUGUGGAUGGCAAGUUAGCAAUUAAAUAAAAUUUUAAAUAUAACAAAUUUAGAAAAGAUAUAAAUAUUUUUUUAAUAUUUUACCCAAAUCAAUCUACAUUUGUAAAAUGAGUAACUCGAACUCAUUUUAGACCUGCUCAUUUUUUUAAAAAAUAUUAAAAAUAUUAAUAUUAUUUUAAGUUUAAUAUUUAAUAAUUAUAUAUAUUUCUUUUAUUAAAAUUAUAUAUAUCUUAAUAUUUUUUAAUAUUUACAUUAUAAUAUUAUAUAUCACUUUAAAUAUUUUUUUAUUAUAAAUUAUAAAAUAUAUAAAAGAUUAAAAGAAUAACAUAACAUAAUAUAUUAGAAAAUUCAAAAAUGGGCUAGGUUGGACUAAACCUAGGUCUUAAAUGUUCAAGUUCGAAUCUUACCAAUAUUUUAAACGGGUCUUUUUUUUUUUGUCAAAUCUCAUUUUUCAGGCUUAAUAUUUUUACUAAAACCCUUUCAAAAUUCGAACGAACUUUUGAACUUGGACAGAUAGCUCAUCCCAUGAACAAAUUUAAUUUUAAGUUAAAUUGGAUUUUUGAGUUUAAGAUUGGACUAAUUUGAAUGGUUAACUUUUUAUGUUAAACCAAAUUUGGUCUAGCUUGAAUUUAAGUUUAUCGGAUUGAGUUCUCAAAUUCGAGUCAUAAUCGAGAGGGUAAAACAGUAAAUUUGGUGCAGGAACCUGGAGAAAUAGAGGCGGAAUUUGCAGAGAUUAGUCUAAGACAAGCAGUUUUGGAGCUGUUAUCAUACCGGAUACCCGACCCACUUUAUUUACCAAAGGAAAAUCUAUUCGGGCAUCCACUGGAUUGCCCGGUAAACUUGCCGCCAUGGUUGUCGGACCAAGACGCCGAUUACUACGCUAACCAGUUCCAGGAAACCGGCAUUACCGGUGCCUCAAUUAUUACCGCAACAUAGAUACAUAUGUUUUUCUUCCCGCUACCAGUCACCUAAUAAAUUUAUUUGCUUCCUUAAUUAUGAAAAGUUAUAAAAUGAUUAUUUAAUUAUUUGUAAAUUUUUUUAGUCACUUAAUUAUGAAAAGUCAUAAAUUUGUCACUCAACUAUUCCAAUUUGUCUUCUUCUUUUUUUGUCAACUAUCUUGGAUUUCUAGGUGUUUCCAUUUUUACGUUAAUCAGUCGAAGACCAAAAAAGACAAAAUUAAAUAACUAUGAGAUAAUUUUAUAACUUUUCAUAGUUGGAUGAUCAAAAGGAAAAAAAAUAGUUGGGUGACUACUAAUGUAGAUUACCCAAUUAUUAAUUAUGGGUUUUUCAUGUUAGUUAAAAUACGCUCUAAGUCCCUUUACUUUUUGUAAAUUUAAAAUUCAAUCCUUUAUUUCAAAUUUAAAAAUACAAGUUUAAUUAUUAAUACUGUUAAAAAUUUUCGAUUAAAUUCAUAUUCAUUACAGUGUCAUUUUUUUUAUAAUUAACUAAAUUCAUUUAUUUUUGGUUGGUUCUGUUAUAGCGACUGGGAACUAUUAGCACCAUGGUGGAAAAGCCAGAUCCAGGUCCCUGUAAAGUUUGCAAUGGGGGACCAUGAUCUCGUAUAUACAAUGCCAGGUGUCAAAGAUUAUAUUCACAACGGUGGGUUUAAAAGGAAUGUGCCCUUUCUUGAAGAAGCUCUUGUCAUCAAUGGAGUUUCUCAUUGGAUCAAUGAGGAAAUACCUGAUCAAAUCAAUCAAUUAUUGUUCGAUUUCUUCUCCAAGUUCAAUUAAAAUUAAAUAACAAUAUCCAAUUUAGUAAAAAUAAAAAGGUCUUACCUUUGUUGUUGUGUUUAUCUUUCUCGAUAAUCGAAAAAGUUUACGUUAAGACUUAUUUCGAGCAGUGAUUAGAAUUAUUGAAAGAAUUUAUUAUUUCAAAUUAGGCAUGUUCAUGGGUUAGUAGUUUGAGGAUUCAUUCGAAAUUUGAGAGGGUUUGAGAAAAAUAUUAGACUUGAUAAAUAUACUUGAGCAAAAAUAUUAGGCAUGUUUAAAAUAAAAGUCGGGUUUGGGCUCAAACAUUCAAGGCUUGAGUUCGGCUUGGCCUGACCCGUUUUCUAAGAUUGUAAUAUAUGUUGCACUAUGUUAUUUUUAUAUAUGAUGUAAUUUAUAACACGUAAAAAGUAAAUCUACAAUAAUAAAGUAUAAUACUGUG